CCUACGGGUGGCAGCAGUGAGGAAUAUUGGUCAAUGGGCGGAAGCCUGAACCAGCCAAGUCGCGUGAGGGAUUAAGGCCCUGCGGGUCGUAAACCUCUUUUGCCGGGGAGCAGUGGUCCGGACGCGUCCGGACCGGGAGAGUACCCGGAGAAAAAGCAUCGGCUAACUCCGUGCCAGCAGCCGCGGUAAUACGGAGGAUGCGAGCGUUAUCCGGAUUUACUGGGUGUAAAGGGCGUGUAGCCGGGCUGACAAGUCAGAUGUAAAAUCCGGGGGCUCAACCCCCGAACUGCAUUUGAAACUGUUGGUCUUGAGUAUCGGAGAGGCAGGCGGAAUUCCUAGUGUAGCGGUGAAAUGCGUAGAUAUUAGGAGGAACACCAGUGGCGAAGGCGGCCUGCUGGACGACAACUGACGGUGAGGCGCGAAAGCGUGGGGAGCAAACAGGAUUAGAUACCCUGGUAGUC
This 461-nucleotide ribosomal RNA is filed under the name uncultured bacterium. RNAcentral's name for it is "partial 16S ribosomal RNA". It matches the Rfam family "Bacterial small subunit ribosomal RNA", at positions 338 to 795 of the family's 1533-position model. The record is from RNAcentral.